RNAcentral lists this ribosomal RNA (263 nucleotides) under Escherichia coli. RNAcentral's name for it is "partial 16S ribosomal RNA". It matches the Rfam family "Bacterial small subunit ribosomal RNA", at positions 1 to 260 of the family's 1533-position model. Lineage: Bacteria; Pseudomonadati; Pseudomonadota; Gammaproteobacteria; Enterobacterales; Enterobacteriaceae. The record is from RNAcentral.
AAAUUGAAGAGUUUGAUCAUGGCUCAGAUUGAACGCUGGCGGCAGGCCUAACACAUGCAAGUCGAACGGUAACAGGAAACAGCUUGCUGUUUUGCUGACGAGUGGCGGACGGGUGAGUAAUGUCUGGGAAACUGCCUGAUGGAGGGGGAUAACUACUGGAAACGGUAGCUAAUACCGCAUAACGUCGCAAGACCAAAGAGGGGGACCUUCGGGCCUCUUGCCAUCGGAUGUGCCCAGAUGGGAUUAGCUAGUAGGUGGGGUAA